AACUGAUACUACCUGCGGGAACCUGCGGAAGGAUCAUUAAAGAGAAAACUGCCCUUUGGGUAGAUCUCCCACCCUUUGUUUAUAUUACCUUUGUUGCUUUGGCAGGCCCGUCUCUGACCACCGGCUCUUUGGCUGGUCUGUGCCUGCCAAGAGACCUCCAACUCUUGAUUUGAAGUUGUCUGAGUCUUAUAUAAUAGUAAAAACUUUUAACAAUGGAUCUCUAGAUCGGAAGAGCACACG
Molecule: unclassified non-coding RNA, 240 nt
Filed under: soil metagenome
Description: partial contains 5.8S ribosomal RNA, internal transcribed spacer 2, and large subunit ribosomal RNA
Source: RNAcentral